This 757-nucleotide ribosomal RNA is filed under the name uncultured bacterium. RNAcentral describes it as "bacterial SSU rRNA". It matches the Rfam family "Bacterial small subunit ribosomal RNA", at positions 28 to 776 of the family's 1533-position model. The record is from RNAcentral.
AUUGAACGCUGGCGGCAGGCUUAACACAUGCAAGUCGAACGGUAACGGGUUGAAAGCUUGCUUUCAAUGCUGACGAGUGGCGGACGGGUGAGUAAGGCUUGGGGAUCUGGCUUUUGGAGGGGGAUAACCAUUGGAAACGAUGGCUAAUACCGCAUAGUAUCGAGAGAUGAAAGGGGUGGGAAACCACUUGCCAAGGGAUGAACCCAAGUGAGAUUAGGUAGUUGGUGGGGUAAGGGCCUACCAAGCCGACGAUCUCUAGCUGGUCUGAGAGGAUGGCCAGCCACACUGGGACUGAGACACGGCCCAGACUCCUACGGGAGGCAGCAGUGGGGAAUAUUGCGCAAUGGGGGGAACCCUGACGCAGCCAUGCCGCGUGAAUGAAGAAGGCCUUCGGGUUGUAAAGUUCUUUCGGUGGUGAGGAAGGUGGUAGUGUUAAUAGCGCUAUUGUUUGACGUUAGCCACAGAAGAAGCACCGGCUAACUCCGUGCCAGCAGCCGCGGUAAUACGGAGGGUGCGAGCGUUAAUCGGAAUAACUGGGCGUAAAGGGCACGCAGGCGGGACGUUAAGUGAGAUGUGAAAGCCCCGGGCUUAACCUGGGAACAGCAUUUCAUACUGGCGUACUAGAGUACUUUAGGGAGGGGUAGAAUUCCACGUGUAGCGGUGAAAUGCGUAGAGAUGUGGAGGAAUACCGAAGGCGAAGGCAGCCCCUUGGGAAGAUACUGACGCUCAUGUGCGAAAGCNGUGGGGAGCAAACAGG